UCGGGAAUUUUGGGCAAUGGGCGAAAGCCUGACCCAGCAACGCCGCGUGAAGGAUGAAGUAUUUCGGUAUGUAAACUUCGAAAGAAUAGGAAGAAUAAAUGACGGUACUAUUUAUAAGGUCCGGCUAACUACGUGCCAGCAGCCGCGGUAAUACGUAGGGACCAAGCGUUGUUCGGAUUUACUGGGCGUAAAGGGCGCGUAGGCGGCAAUUCAAGUCAUCUGUGAAAUCUCCGGGCUUAACUCGGAACGGUCAGAUGAUACUGCUUUGCUAGAGUGCAGAAGGGGCAAUCGGAAUUCUUGGUGUAGCGGUGAAAUGCGUAGAUAUCAAGAGGAACACCUGAGGUGAAGACGGGUUGCUGGGCUGACACUGACGCUGAGGCGCGAAAGCCAGGGGAGCAAACGGGGAUUAGAU
RNAcentral lists this ribosomal RNA (412 nucleotides) under uncultured bacterium. RNAcentral describes it as "bacterial SSU rRNA". It matches the Rfam family "Bacterial small subunit ribosomal RNA", at positions 355 to 783 of the family's 1533-position model. The record is from RNAcentral.